GCGGCAGCGCGGGACUCGGGCAACCGAGUCCUGGCGGCGAGGGGAACGGGUGAGUAAUACAUCGGAACGUGUCCUGGAGUGGGGGAUAGCCCGGCGAAAGCCGGAUUAAUACCGCAUACGCUCUAAGGAGGAAAGGGGGGGAUCUUAGGACCUCUCGCUCAAGGGGCGGCCGAUGGCAGAUUAGCUAGUUGGUGGGGUAAAGGCCUACCAAGGCGACGAUCUGUAGCUGGUCUGAGAGGACGACCAGCCACACUGGGACUGAGACACGGCCCAGACUCCUACGGGAGGCAGCAGUGGGGAAUUUUGGACAAUGGGCGCAAGCCUGAUCCACAAUGCCGCGUGUGUGAAGAAGCCUUCGGGUUGUAAAGCACUUUUGUCCGGAAAGAAAACCCCUGUUUUUUUUUUUGCGGGGGGAUGACGGUACCGGAGAAUAACCACCGGCUAACUA
RNAcentral lists this ribosomal RNA (448 nucleotides) under uncultured Burkholderia sp. RNAcentral's name for it is "partial 16S ribosomal RNA". It matches the Rfam family "Bacterial small subunit ribosomal RNA", at positions 57 to 503 of the family's 1533-position model. The record is from RNAcentral. Lineage: Bacteria; Pseudomonadati; Pseudomonadota; Betaproteobacteria; Burkholderiales; Burkholderiaceae.